This is a long non-coding RNA of Musa acuminata AAA Group (dessert banana), 2078 nucleotides long. RefSeq lists it as uncharacterized. The transcript is spliced from 3 exons. The record is from RefSeq and is a predicted model, not a curated record. Lineage: Eukaryota; Viridiplantae; Streptophyta; Magnoliopsida; Zingiberales; Musaceae.
GAUGUUCGUAAAUUUAGUUGUUUUAGCAAAUUGGCAUAUAUCACAAAACAAAUCUUGAUGUUAACUAAAAAUAUUAUAUUUCUGUGCUAUCUUUGUCUUCAAAUUUGUCUCAGCAGAGAGAGUAUUUGUGAUGAAAAUAGUCUUCCAUUUUCCAGCUGAUUAAGUAGACAAGCUUCAGAACCUAAUUUAGAUAGAUGACAAGUUUUAGAAACAUUUGUGUUGAAGACUUUCCACAGGAUAUGUUGCUGACACUUGAGGAAUUGAUAUAUUAUUAAGUUGCAGUAACGUAGAAGCUGAAAGGAAACCUCUACUUGAUGCUAGAUUCUAGAAAAAGCCAUUGGGCAUCUUCUUAUCUUCUUUUCUUGUUGUCAUUUUUAGAUACAUCAAACUUUAGCCAGUUAGACAUUCUGGGGGCAGCAUCUUCUUCAUUUAAUUCAAGGCCAUAACUUUAGAGAAUUUUGUACAGACCACAAAUCUUGCUUUCAGAUCAGUUCUAUUCUGUGAGGAUGACAGACGAAGGCACUUCUCUUUUCUAGAGAAACCCAAGUGUUUAACAGAAUCAGAAUGCUACUAGUGCAGUGUGCCAUCUAAAACUCUGUUGUCGAACCAGCUUCUGUUAGAAGUACUACUCCAUAAAGCGAACUUUCUUCUACCCAGUUUCUUUAAAGUGAUGUUAAUGCAAAUCAGCUAGAACUUCCUUUGGAUUAGUCCAAACAAUUGUUAUAAGCACCUAAUUGUAUCGGUCAAGUAUAUUGAAGGAAAACUGUAACAUUUUAUUAUUUAUGCAAUAAGUAAGGUUGUGACAGGAACCAAUAAAGCUAUAAAGAUUUGUAAGCAACUCCAAAUAGGGAAUGAUGCUAAUCUUGUUUCUGUUUUAUAUAUGGUUUGAACAGAAGAGAAAAAUGGUUAGAUUCUUCAAUGAAUACAAUAUUCUUAUUCUUAAGGUUUUAUUCUUGCAGAAAGCUUUCCUGCAUGGUUAUUGUUGUAUAUCAUAUUGUUUUCUGGUAACAGCAAGGAUGGACAGUUCACCAACAGAUGAGCAGAUGGGCACUUUUGUUGUUUAUAUACAAUUCAUAAUGGUCUGGCAGGCAUUACAACUUACAAGCAUCCUGAAAGUUGACACACGCACAUCAGGAUUUCAGUAAAAUUCAGGAGUUGGUAAUCAACAUCCAUUUCUUAUUCUGCAUAUUUGUUAUGGCAAUAAAACUGUUUUGCUCAAUCAAUUUUAAGCAUAACUUUCCAUGACUAAUGCAGUGAAAUGAAGAUGGAUUUUCAUUGAUGAAAAUGGUAUCUGAUAAUCAUGGAUGAAUUAGGCCAUGGGGAGAAACAAUGAAGCUAUUGCAUGCAGAACUAUAUUCAAUUACAAUGGCUAUGGCAAUUUAUGUCCUUUCCUUGUCUUGGUGGAUCAUCAAGGGAAUGAACAAAAAUAAGCCAUAGCCGGUCAUCCAUGGCUAUUCAAGACGUCCAUUGGAACAACACAUGAUCUGAAGACAUCAACCGGCUCUUGAAUGAUCGGUUCAAAUUCUUAUCAUCUCAAUCAGGCAUCGUGAAUGAUUAAAAUUCAUAUCUUGGAGAUGCUUUUCUGACAAAAACGAAGGCCAACUGGUUUGAUUUCUUUUAGCAUGAAGAGCAGCCAAGCUUCUAUAUCUUCAGCAAGUAUGCAAUUACACCUCCAAAGAUGCUAAAGGUUCGAGGGGCAAUUGGACACAAAAGUCUACUGGAGUCUGGGCACGAGGUAUGGCAUAUAUGCUACUGAAGCAAGACAGGAUGCAACGUGAAAUUCUGGAGAAGCAGAGGAAAACAACAAACAACAGAGGGGGAAAACAAUAGCUAGGAAAGAGAAAAAGAAUAAUGGAGUGAGAGAGGAGCAGAGGACUCAUGAAGUACUUGCAAGCAAACUCAAUCAACCAACCCCCUUCACUUCUGAAAGCUAAAAAACAUACUGAAGAUGGACACUCGCCCCUUCACAGAGAACAGAAUUUUUCAGAUCAAGUCUUAUCUCUUUUAUGUCACAAAUCUCACAUAGGUGAUGAAGGCAAAGUUAUCUCAACAAUCCAUUUUGUCAUUAUAGAGGCAUG